CUUCACCUUCACAGAUCAGCACUCAGCACAGACCUGACACUAUGAAGUUGUUGCUAAACUGGGUUUUUCUAGUAACACUUUUAAAUGGUAUUCAGUGUGAGGUGAAGCUGGCGGUACAUGGAGGAGGUUUGGUGGAGCCUGGGGCUUCUCUCAGACUCUCCUGUGUAGCUUCUGGAUUCACCUUGGGUGAUUACUACAUGGAGUGGGUUCGACAGGCUCCAGGGAAAGGACUGGAGUGGAUUGCAGCAACUAGAAACAGAGCUAAAGAUUAUUCAGCAGAGUACAGUGCAUCUGUGAAUGGACGAUUCACCAUCUCAAGGGAUGUUUCCCAAAACAUCCUCUACCUUCAUAUGAACAACCUGAAAACUGAGGACACUGGCAUUUAUUACUGCGCAAGAGAUGCACACAGUGAGGAGACUUGA
Rattus rattus (black rat) is the source of this 422-nucleotide non-coding RNA. The record is from the annotation of a RefSeq genome assembly. NCBI's taxonomy places the organism in Eukaryota, Metazoa, Chordata, Mammalia, Rodentia, Muridae.